UUUAAUUUUGGCUCUGUUUUGUUUUCCUUAGGAUAGAUUUGAAUCGUUAGGUGGGCAAAUCUUCCCAUGGAGAAAGUAGAAAUAGGGUGUGCUGGGUUCCCUGGGGCAGCAGUUCACAACAAAAUUUGUUCUGUUGUUUUAACUAGGGAUUUGCUUAUAAUUCAACCCCUUUUGACAUUUUGCUGUUUAUUCAACAAAGCAAGCUCGUAAGUCAUGUGGCUCGUAAGUCAAAGCAAGCUCUGAGUGAGUGGCUUCCUUCCCUUGGAGCUGCCUGUCUGGUGACCACCUCUGCCAGGUUUCCACUUCCAUGAACUCUGUGUGUCUCCUUCCUGAUUUUCCAUAUGCAAAUGCAAGAAACGUAGUACCAUUUCCUUUAUUUUCCCUUUUGUACACAAAGGGUGACAUUCCCUGCCUCUGUUUCUAAGGAUGUAUUGAACCAUAAACUUCAGGCUAUUAUUAAAAUGAAACCACUCUGAAUGGUAAUGUGAUUGUGAUGGUUAAUGUGUGUGUCACCUUGGCUAGGCUAUGGUAUGCUCAGCUGUUUGAUCAGCACCAGCCUACAUGUUGCAGUGAAGGUGUUUUCUAGAUGUGAUUAACAUUUAAAGCAGAGACUGUGAGUAAAGAAGUUGACCUUCCCUAAUGAGGGUGGGCCUUAUCCAAUCAGUUGAAGGCCUUCCAAGCAAAGACUGAGGUUUCCCAAAGGAGAAGGAAUUCCACCUUAAGGAUGUAACACAGGAACCCUGCCUGAGUUUUCAGUCUGCCAGCUUUCCCUGCAGAGAUCAAGUUUAAGAAGGCAAAAUCAACACGCUUACAUUUCCAGCCUGCUGGAACCAACUAGGCCCCCUGGCAGGCCCUCCUUCCAGGCUCCACAAUCACAGGAACUCAUUCCUUAAAAGGAAAUCUCUCUCUCUCUAAAUACAGACAUACACAUGCAUCCUAUCGGUCUGUUUCUCUGGAGAGCCCUCAUACAGUAGUUACAUCUUUAUUCUUAGGAGGCGCCUGCUGAGGAAUGCAAGGGUGAGUUGUUUUGACGUCUGUAACUAGCUUCCAACCGGUUCCACGAGAGAAAGCGGGCGGAGGCAGAGAAAUCACAACAUGCUACGAAGCGCUGGAUCCAGGUUUGGGAGAUUGUGGGGGCUCCACACCCUGAGAGUGGAAGGAACAUGGAGCAAACCCCACCCAGGACUUUCCCUCAGAGGUCUGCUCUGCUCCACAUUUGCUUGAAGCCUUGGUAUUUUGAUAACACCACUUAAGCCUCAGCUGUCUGGCCAGUUAAAUGAGACAAAUCAUAUGAAGCAAGCACAUGCUGAUUUGUAGGUCUGCCUUCUCACUGACCUGCUGUGGGGCAAGAAUUGGGUUGCAGCCCCUGAUCUGCACAGGAGUGCACAAGCAGUCUGCCACCCAGGCAGCUUCUGUGACUUCACAAUCAAAGACAUUUCUGAGGCUGAAGAUUCUUCCUUGACCUCAGCAUCCUCCUUCACAGUACCUACUGCAGGGGUGACUACUGCUGAGUACAGGAGCUGGGGGAGAUCUCGCAGGCAAAGAAGAGAGACAAGUGCGGUCCCAUGAGACCCGGAAUGCUUAUGGUCUACCCUGCAGUCAAUUGACAGCAAUUCUUGUUUGGAAAUCAAUGCAUCUGCACUCUGAGUUGCACUGGAUCCUGGCGGACCAGAGCUCUGCACGCUUUCUACUCUCCAGCCUGUGUGCAGAAGUUGUAAUACUAAAAAUGACAUUCUCCAAACUCCCUUGCAGCUAGAUUCUGGGCCUGAUUUUAUUUCAUUUUGACUAGGUGCACUUACUUGCCAUUUACAGGACAGAAGGGAGUGGGGGCUGCGCUUUGCCGUGUCUGCCAUUUCCAUUGUGAAGCACAGUGGAGAGGUCCUGGUUUUCUGCAGCAGUUUUAGCAAGAGGUCCUGAUUUCUGGGCAGUGGCUCUGUGAGUGUCAAGAGCAGGGCUUGGAGCAGCCAUUUUGCUCAUGAGCAAGUAGCAGACACUCAUAGUUCUGGGCCUCUUUUUGGUCCCUAGCUCCUAAGGCGAGGUAUUCCUGAAGCAUUUGGUUGUGGCUGGUUUUCCAAUUUCCUAAUCAUAAUAAAGGUGGGUGAUCUGAGAGCCAGAGGAAGCCCAGCAUCCUUUCUCCCCACUCCAUUGUCUAACUUCUUGCUGGAAGCACCAUGGGUGGAGUCAUCCGGCAUGUCCACUAGGCUGCCUAGAGUAGCUCUUUGCACAAUGGAACACAAUCUUGAGUGCAGAAAUGAUGCAUCCAUCUAGAAGACUCUUCAAAAGAGGUGCAUUUCUCAUGAGUCAGCCUGGACCUGCUACCCCAGAUGAAGCCCAGCCUCAGGGGUGAGGCUGCCCAACAAGUUCCUGACUCAGAGGAAGCCACAGCUUGAGUUGUCAUCGAUGUUGCUGUUGGCCCAGGGGUGAGUUGGUACCACCUAACACCCCUCAAGAGGAGACCCAGCCUCCUGCAUGAGAAUGGAGUAUUCCUGGGAGAUAGCAUCAGCAACUCCCUGAACACAGACGGGACCUGGCAGCGAGGACCGCAGUGCCUGAACCCUGUGAGUCAAUACCUCCAGAACCUGAGACUUCAAGUCAUUGCCCAUUGAGGGAUGGACUGCAUCACGUCUCAAAAUUCAACCAGAUUUCCAGCUGGAGGCCAGGGGAAUCUGGAAACAUUAAUCGCCUCCCCCAUUAAACAGAUGCAUUUGCUUUUGUAUUUAUUGAAUUAAUUUACAAAAUGCUGCUGUCUUGAGGGAAGCAUUCCCUGGAGCUUGCAAAUACCAGCUAAUACCACGUAGUUAAUAUUCAUUCAACUGAAGCAGUAAUGUCAGGGUUACAUUAGCACCAACUAAAGAAUACAAACAUCCAGACUUUUGAAUUCUCCAACCUCCAAGACCUCUGUGAUUUACUGUCUUUUAGGGUUCAAUCUAGAUAGGGAAAUUGGAUUUCCUGUCAGAAGUUUCUGUGCAGCACAUUCCUGAACUUCCUUGAAUGGUUUGAUGUCUUUCUGAGGUUUCUGGCGUCAGUCCCUAGGGCCGACUGCUACCACCUUGAAUCCAAGGGGACUGUUUUGGAGGAGAGGAUGGGGGAACCUAGUUGCAUCUUCCUGGUAGUGGGACAAGUUAGUCUAUGUGUUUUUCACAGUCUUCUAGAUGAGAGAAAUGCCUGUGGAGUCCAGCAUCCAGGUGUUUCUGAAAUUGCUCCCAUGAAUGAAGGCAUUUGCCUGCCUCCGCCAUCCCAAUCCUGCCUACCCACUCUUUCCUCUUCUGAUGAGAUCUUUCAGCAAAUCA
This 3290-nucleotide long non-coding RNA is filed under the name Homo sapiens (human). RNAcentral's name for it is "HSALNT0353579". Lineage: Eukaryota; Metazoa; Chordata; Mammalia; Primates; Hominidae. The record is from RNAcentral.